Molecule: ribosomal RNA, 514 nt
Filed under: uncultured bacterium
Lineage: Bacteria
Description: partial 16S ribosomal RNA
Rfam family: Bacterial small subunit ribosomal RNA
Source: RNAcentral
GAUGAACGCUGGCGGCGUGCCUAAUACAUGCAAGUCGAGCGAACUGAUUAGAAGCUUGCUUCUAUGACGUUAGCGGCGGACGGGUGAGUAACACGUGGGCAACCUGCCUGUAAGACUGGGAUAACUUCGGGAAACCGAAGCUAAUACCGGAUAGGAUCUUCUCCUUCAUGGGAGAUGAUUGAAAGAUGGUUUCGGCUAUCACUUACAGAUGGGCCCGCGGUGCAUUAGCUAGUUGGUGAGGUAACGGCUCACCAAGGCAACGAUGCAUAGCCGACCUGAGAGGGUGAUCGGCCACACUGGGACGGAGACACGGCCCAGACUCCUACGGGAGGCAGCAGUAGGGAAUCUUCCGCAAUGGACGAAAGUCUGACGGAGCAACGCCGCGUGAGUGAUGAAGGCUUUCGGGUCGUAAAACUCUGUUGUUAGGGAAGAACGAGUACGAGAGUAACUGCUCGUACCUUGACGGUACCUAACCAGAAAGCCACGGCUAACUACGUGCCAGCAGCCGCGGUAA